UUGGAGGGCAAGUCUGGUGCCAGCAGCCGCGGUAAUUCCAGCUCCAAUAGCGUAUAUUAAAGUUGUUGCAGUUAAAAAGCUCGUAGUUGAAUUUCGGGAUUGACACAUCGGUCGUGCCUUAAGGGGCAUGAACUGGUGUAGUCAAUUUCUCACCUUCUGGAGAACCGCGAUGCCCUUAAUUGGGUGUCGCGGGGAACCAGGACCUUUACUUUGAAAAAAUUAGAGUGUUUAAAGCAGGCAUUUUGCUUUAAUACAUUAGCAUGGAAUAAUAAAAUAGGACGGCAUGACUCUAUUUUGUUGGUUUCUAGGAUCACCGUAAUGAUUAAUAGGGAUAGUUGGGGGCAUUAGUAUUCAAUUGUCAGAGGUGAAAUUCUUGGAUUUAUUGAAGACUAACUACUGCGAAAGCAUUUGCCAAGGAUGUUUUCAUUAAUCAAGAACGAAAGUUAGGGAAUCGAAGACGAUCAGAUACCGUCGUAGUCUUAACCAUAAACUAUGCCGACUAGGAAUCAGACGAUGUUAAUUUUUUAAUGACUCGUUUGGCACCUUACGGGAAACCAAAGUGUUUGGGUUC
This 571-nucleotide ribosomal RNA is filed under the name uncultured Glomeromycotina. Its description in RNAcentral is "SSU rRNA". It matches the Rfam family "Eukaryotic small subunit ribosomal RNA", at positions 548 to 1114 of the family's 1831-position model. Lineage: Eukaryota; Fungi; Glomeromycota. The record is from RNAcentral.